This 404-nucleotide ribosomal RNA is filed under the name uncultured bacterium. RNAcentral describes it as "bacterial SSU rRNA". It matches the Rfam family "Bacterial small subunit ribosomal RNA", at positions 355 to 776 of the family's 1533-position model. The record is from RNAcentral.
UGGGGAAUAUUGCACAAUGGGGGGAACCCUGAUGCAGCAACGCCGCGUGAGUGAAGGAGUCAUCCGUGAUGUAAAGCUCUAUCAGCAGGGAAGAAAAUGACGGUACCUGAGUAAGAAGCCCCGGCUAACUACGUGCCAGCAGCCGCGGUAAUACGUAGGGGGCAAGCGUUAUCCGGAUUUACUGGGUGUAAAGGGAGCGUAGACGGCCAGGCAAGUCUGAAGUGAAAGCCCAGUGCCCAACACUGGGACUGCUUUGGAAACUGCCAGGCUGGAGUGCAGGAGGGGUAAGUGGAAUUCCUAGUGUAGCGGUGAAAUGCGUAGAUAUUAGGAGGAACACCAGUGGCGAAGGCGGCUUACUGGACUGUAACUGACGUUGAGGCUCGAAGGCGUGGGGAGCAAACAGG